Ipomoea triloba (trilobed morning glory) is the source of this 342-nucleotide long non-coding RNA. RefSeq lists it as uncharacterized. The transcript has 3 exons. The record is from RefSeq and is a predicted model, not a curated record. Lineage: Eukaryota; Viridiplantae; Streptophyta; Magnoliopsida; Solanales; Convolvulaceae.
AGGUCACUGCUUGUUUUGGAAAACUAAAUAAAUGCUCUGGGAAAACAACAAAAGAAAGGUCUAGCUUACGUUCCUUAUCGUAAUAGCAAAUUGAUGUGUAUUCUUAAAGAUUGCCUGAGUGGUAAUUCUCAUACUAUAAUGAUCAUCACCAUAUCUCCAGCAGAUAGUCAGUAUCACCAUACUGUUAACACUUUGAAGUAUGCUCACUGAACAAAGGAAAUUAAGGCACAUACAUAUUCAGUGUAUUAGGCUCACCAACAAUGAUGGAAUGGUCUGACGGACUUCAACUUGCCAGUUCUACUGGCUACCAGUUUUCCACAGGUGAGUUGUUUAUCCCUACCC